CAACAGGGAUUGCCCUAGUAACGGCGAGUGAAGCGGCAACAGCUCAAAUUUGAAAUCUGGCCCCCAGGGCCCGAGUUGUAAUUUGCAGAGGAUGCUUUGGGCGAGGUGCCUUCCGAGUUCCCUGGAACGGGACGCCAUAGAGGGUGAGAGCCCCGUCUGGUCGGACACCGAGCCUGUGUAAAGCUCCUUCGACGAGUCGAGUAGUUUGGGAAUGCUGCUCAAAAUGGGAGGUAUAUGUCUUCUAAAGCUAAAUAUUGGCCAGAGACCGAUAGCGCACAAGUAGAGUGAUCGAAAGAUGAAAAGCACUUUGAAAAGAGGGUUAAACAGUACGUGAAAUUGUUGAAAGGGAAGCGCCUAUGACCAGACUUGGGCCCGGUGAAUCAUCCAGCGUUCUCGCUGGUGCACUUUGCCGGGCACAGGCCAGCAUCAGUUUGGCGCGGGGGACAAAGGCUUCGGGAAUGUAGCUCCCUCGGGAGUGUUAUAGCCCGCUGCGCAAUGCCCUGCGCCGGACUGAGGUACGCGCAUCGCAAGGAUGCUGGCGUAAUGGUCAUCAGCGACCCGUCUUGAAACACGGACCAAGGAGUCGUCUUCGUAUGCGAGUGUUCGGGUGUCAAACCCCUACGCGUAAUGAAAGUGAACGCAGGUGAGAGCUUCGGCGCAUCAUCGACCGAUCCUGAUGUUCUCGGAUGGAUUUGAGUAAGAGCAUACGGGGCCGGACCCGAAAGAAGGUGAACUAUGCCUGUAUAGGGUGAAGCCAGAGGAAACUCUGGUGGAGGCUCGCAGCGGUUCUGACGUGCGAAUCGAUCGUCAAAUAUGGGCAUGGGGGCGAAAGACUAAUCGAAC
Molecule: ribosomal RNA, 843 nt
Filed under: Cordyceps pruinosa
Lineage: Eukaryota; Fungi; Ascomycota; Sordariomycetes; Hypocreales; Cordycipitaceae
Description: partial large subunit ribosomal RNA
Rfam family: Eukaryotic large subunit ribosomal RNA
Source: RNAcentral